AGAAACGUUUGGAGAAGUGAUGGGACCGGCUUGCAUAUAUGAUAGCGAAACGCAUCGAAGCCCGCCGAUCGGCUAUGAAUACAUGACAAUUCCCCUUCUAAUUUCUCCGUCGAAGAUGAUCACACAAUCUUCGAACAAUAGUUACGCAGCGCGUAACUAGGCUACCGAACCCCAAAAGCAUUGUAACUACCGAAGCUACAUCAAAAUGUUCUUUGAAGCAGGCGAUCAAUGCAUCUGAUCAUUGGGCUCAAAUUUGAUGCUUAAAGAUGUAGGCGCUAGACACAUUGUCGAAUCUUGAAAGGAAGGCGAACACACCUUAUCUAAAUGAAGCGUAUUCCUGACGAACCCCUCGGCAGAUUUUGAUCCGAAGCUUUGCACAAAUGAAAAAGAAAGAAUAGCUGGAC
This 404-nucleotide small RNA is filed under the name Histoplasma capsulatum var. duboisii H88. Its description in RNAcentral is "Histoplasma capsulatum H88 hypothetical RNA". Lineage: Eukaryota; Fungi; Ascomycota; Eurotiomycetes; Onygenales; Ajellomycetaceae. The record is from RNAcentral.